UACGUAGGGGGCAAGCGUUGUCCGGAUUUAUUGGGCGUAAAGAGCGUGUAGGCGGCUAGGUAGGUCCGCUGUGAAAACUCGAGGCUCAACCUCGAGAGGUCGGUGGAAACCAUCUAGCUAGAGUCCGGAAGAGGAGAAUGGAAUUCCUGGUGUAGCGGUGAAAUGCGCAGAUAUCAGGAAGAACACCCGUGGCGAAGGCGGUUCUCUGGGACGGUACUGACGCUGAGACGCGAAAGCGUGGGGAGCAAACAGG
Molecule: ribosomal RNA, 253 nt
Filed under: uncultured bacterium
Lineage: Bacteria
Description: partial 16S ribosomal RNA
Rfam family: Bacterial small subunit ribosomal RNA
Source: RNAcentral